AGAACGAACGCUGGCGGCGUGCCUAACACAUGCAAGUCGAGCGCGAAUAGGGGCAACCCUUAGUAGAGCGGCGCACGGGUGCGUAACACGUGGGUAAUCUGCCUGGAAGCCUGGGAUAACUAGCCGAAAGGUUAGCUAAUACCAGAUGAGACUACGGACUCUUCGGAGUCUGAGGGAAAAAGGUGGCCUCUGUAUACAAGCUAUCACUUCCAGAUGAGCCCGCGGCCCAUCAGCUAGUUGGCGGGGUAAUGGCCCACCAAGGCAACGACGGGUAGCUGGUCUGAGAGGACGAUCAGCCACACUGGAACUGAGACACGGUCCAGACUCCUACGGGAGGCAGCAGUGGGGAAUUUUGCGCAAUGGGCGAAAGCCUGACGCAGCAACGCCGCGUGUGUGAUGAAGGUCUUCGGAUUGUAAAGCACUUUCGACCGGACGAAACCUUCAGCCCAAUACGCUGAAGCUUGACGGUACCGGAGAAGAAGCACGG
RNAcentral lists this ribosomal RNA (487 nucleotides) under uncultured soil bacterium. Its description in RNAcentral is "bacterial SSU rRNA". It matches the Rfam family "Bacterial small subunit ribosomal RNA", at positions 26 to 495 of the family's 1533-position model. The record is from RNAcentral.